CGGAGGCAGCAGUGGGGAAUUUUGGACAAUGGGCGCAAGCCUGAUCCAGCCAUGCCGCGUGCGGGAAGAAGGCCUUCGGGUUGUAAACCGCUUUUGUCAGGGAAGAAACGCCUUGGGCUAAUACCCCCGAGGUAAUGACGGUACCUGAAGAAUAAGCACCGGCUAACUACGUGCCAGCAGCCGCGGUAAUACGUAGGGUGCAAGCGUUAAUCGGAAUUACUGGGCGUAAAGCGUGCGCAGGCGGUUAUGCAAGACAGAUGUGAAAUCCCCGGGCUUAACCUGGGAACUGCAUUUGUGACUGCAUGGCUAGAGUGCGGCAGAGGGGGAUGGAAUUCCGCGUGUAGCAGUGAAAUGCGUAGAUAUGCGGAGGAACACCGAUGGCGAAGGCAAUCCCCUGGGCCUGCACUGACGCUCAUGCACGAAAGCGUGGGGAGCAAACAGGAUUAGAUACCCUGGUAGG
RNAcentral lists this ribosomal RNA (460 nucleotides) under uncultured bacterium. RNAcentral describes it as "bacterial SSU rRNA". It matches the Rfam family "Bacterial small subunit ribosomal RNA", at positions 343 to 794 of the family's 1533-position model. The record is from RNAcentral.